Lycium ferocissimum is the source of this 467-nucleotide long non-coding RNA. RefSeq lists it as uncharacterized. The transcript has 2 exons. The record is from RefSeq and is a predicted model, not a curated record. NCBI's taxonomy places the organism in Eukaryota, Viridiplantae, Streptophyta, Magnoliopsida, Solanales, Solanaceae.
CCUAUAUCUAAAUUUCAUGCCUCGAGUAAUUCUGAUUUGUGCUGAAUAUGUCUAUUAAAGAGCUCAUUCAUUCUGCUCGCGAAAAUUCAUGUGAUGGCCCAAGAAGAUGUACUACCAAUUGCAAAAAAACUAUUUCAAGAUGAUCCAACUUGUGGGAAACCUUGUAAUACGAUGGAUGAUUGCUCUAAUGGUUGGUUCUGUCAGGCCUGUUGGAAUUUUAGAAAGACCUGUGGGCCAUUUUUGGGGAUGCCAUAGCCAUGGGCAUGUAAUUUCAGUAUUAUCUUAUUUUCAACAUUUAGUCACUUAUUAGAUAUAUAAAAAUAACAAGCGACGGGAAGUGUUGUUCAAAGAAAAAUGUAUGAUGGAUUCAGACUCUGUUGCUAAGAAAUUAAAUCUUGGUGUAAUGUGUUCAUCAUUUAAAUAAAAGAUCAUCCAAUGUGUGGUGAUAUAUGUUUCCUUCGCUUUUA